GUUUUAAUAAUUUAACAAAAAUAUUGGCCUUGUAAACCAAAAAUAAGAAUUCACCUUUUAAAACA
Molecule: transfer RNA, 65 nt
Filed under: Cryptocercus matilei
Lineage: Eukaryota; Metazoa; Arthropoda; Insecta; Blattodea; Cryptocercidae
Also listed under: 9 other names
Description: tRNA-Thr
Rfam family: tRNA
About the family: Transfer RNA (tRNA) molecules are approximately 80 nucleotides in length. Their secondary structure includes four short double-helical elements and three loops (D, anti-codon, and T loops).
Source: RNAcentral